This 388-nucleotide ribosomal RNA is filed under the name uncultured bacterium. RNAcentral's name for it is "bacterial SSU rRNA". It matches the Rfam family "Bacterial small subunit ribosomal RNA", at positions 30 to 420 of the family's 1533-position model. The record is from RNAcentral.
AUUGAACGCUGGCGGCAUGCCUUACACAUGCAAGUCGAACGGCAGCACGGGAGCAAUCCUGGUGGCGAGUGGCGAACGGGUGAGUAAUAUAUCGGAACGUGCCCAGUCGUGGGGAUAACGUAGCGAAAGCUACGCUAAUACCGCAUACGAUCUAUGGAUGAAAGCGGGGGAUCGCAAGACCUCGCGCGAUUGGAGCGGCCGAUAUCAGAUUAGGUAGUUGGUGAGGUAAAGGCUCACCAAGCCGACGAUCUGUAGCUGGUCUGAGAGGACGACCAGCCACACUGGGACUGAGACACGGCCCAGACUCCUACGGGAGGCAGCAGUGGGGAAUUUUGGACAAUGGCGCAAGCCUGAUCCAGCAAUGCCGCGUGCGGGAUGAAGGCCUCGG